ACCUGCGGAAGGAUCAUUGUCGAAACYUGCCCAGYAGAAGGACCGGCGAAC
Molecule: ribosomal RNA, 51 nt
Filed under: Ficus ottoniifolia subsp. ottoniifolia
Lineage: Eukaryota; Viridiplantae; Streptophyta; Magnoliopsida; Rosales; Moraceae
Description: partial 18S ribosomal RNA
Source: RNAcentral